Neltuma alba is the source of this 858-nucleotide long non-coding RNA. RefSeq lists it as uncharacterized. The record is from RefSeq and is a predicted model, not a curated record. The transcript has 5 exons. NCBI's taxonomy places the organism in Eukaryota, Viridiplantae, Streptophyta, Magnoliopsida, Fabales, Fabaceae.
CUUUAUUUUUUACUCUCUCCUUCGUGUUUCCCAUUGUCUUUUCCCAUUCCUCUUUUUUCCCCCUCUUCUCCUCAAUUUCCCAGGUGAAUCGUUCUUGCAAAACCGUUGUGGGAGCUUGAGUUUGCGGUCUUCGAUGUCGGCAACCGUUGGGUGAGGGUGGUGAUAGAUAUUGGUAGGACGCUCUCAUAUAACAGCAAGGAGUGCUUCUGGAGCAGAACCUACAGGACUUAUUCCUAAACAUAGUGGGCUAAUUCUCAUUUUGUAGUCUCAUUAGUGGACCCCGGCAAAGCACACAAAUGUUUUCACGAACAACAUCUUUGGUUCAAAGGAGUCCCAUGUAAAUAGAGUCUUAUUGGGUGAAUGAAGAUGUAAAUAGAGUCUUUAGUUGAGCAGGGCGUGAAAACACCGUUGAACGCACGAAUAUGGUUGUGUUUGAUGAUGAUGUAACUGCACUUUGGGAUAGCUUCUUGGCAAAUUACACAAAUGCUACUAGAGUGUACUGGAACCCUUAUUUUUAUGAGAUCAUGUAUCUGAAGAGAGAAUUGUUGAGGCCCGCUUAGAGAAGAUGAAUAUGAUUUGGAGCUGUAUUAGGGUAGUUAGGGCCAUAGCUUCUGUAUCUACUGGUUUUGGGCUAUAAGUUGAUGACAAAUGUUUUGUUAGGUCCUUACUGGUGGUAAUCAUUCAUAUGUAAUGGGGUACUUCAUACUUAAGUUUGUAUGGGUUGUUGGAUGUUUUAACUUAUAUGGUGUAUUAAUUAUUGAUAUAUUAGUUAUGACUUUCCGCGAUGCUUACGCGCUGUAUAUGAUAUGCAUGAGCUUGUAUUAGUUAUAAUUAUUAGGCGGAUUAUAUGUUUGCUAA